RNAcentral lists this ribosomal RNA (440 nucleotides) under uncultured Bradyrhizobium sp. Its description in RNAcentral is "bacterial SSU rRNA". It matches the Rfam family "Bacterial small subunit ribosomal RNA", at positions 338 to 795 of the family's 1533-position model. Lineage: Bacteria; Pseudomonadati; Pseudomonadota; Alphaproteobacteria; Hyphomicrobiales; Nitrobacteraceae. The record is from RNAcentral.
CCUACGGGAGGCAGCAGUGGGGAAUAUUGGACAAUGGGGGCAACCCUGAUCCAGCCAUGCCGCGUGAGUGAUGAAGGCCCUAGGGUUGUAAAGCUCUUUUGUGCGGGAAGAUAAUGACGGUACCGCAAGAAUAAGCCCCGGCUAACUUCGUGCCAGCAGCCGCGGUAAUACGAAGGGGGCUAGCGUUGCUCGGAAUCACUGGGCGUAAAGGGUGCGUAGGCGGGUCUUUAAGUCAGGGGUGAAAUCCUGGAGCUCAACUCCAGAACUGCCUUUGAUACUGAGGAUCUUGAGUCCGGAAGAGGUGAGUGGAACUGCGAGUGUAGAGGUGAAAUUCGUAGAUAUUCGCAAGAACACCAGUGGCGAAGGCGGCUCACUGGUCCGGUACUGACGCUGAGGCACGAAAGCGUGGGGAGCAAACAGGAUUAGAUACCCUAGUAGUC